This 48-nucleotide transfer RNA is filed under the name Cylindrotheca closterium. RNAcentral describes it as "partial Selenocysteine transfer RNA". The record is from RNAcentral. Lineage: Eukaryota; Bacillariophyta; Bacillariophyceae; Bacillariales; Bacillariaceae.
CAGAUGCCAAACCUAUUUUGCCCUACUGUCAAGCUACGGGGACGACGA